UAGGGAAUCUUCCGCAAUGGACGCAAGUCUGACGGAGCAACGCCGCGUGAGUGAAGAAGGUCUUCGGAUCGUAAAGCUCUGUUGUUAGAGAAGAACAGCGCAUAGAGUAACUGUUAUGCGUGUGACGGUAUCUAACCAGAAAGCCACGGCUAACUACGUGCCAGCAGCCGCGGUAAUACGUAGGUGGCGAGCGUUGUCCGGAUUUAUUGGGCGUAAAGGGAGUGUAGGCGGUCUUUUAAGUCUGAUGUGAAAGCCCACGGCUCAACCGUGGAGGGUCAUUGGAAACUGGGAGACUUGAGUGCAGAAGAGGAGAGCGGAAUUCCAUGUGUAGCGGUGAAAUGCGUAGAUAUAUGGAGGAACACCAGUGGCGAAGGCGGCUCUCUGGUCUGUAACUGACGCUGAGGCUCGAAAGCGUGGGGAGCAAACA
Molecule: ribosomal RNA, 427 nt
Filed under: uncultured bacterium
Lineage: Bacteria
Description: bacterial SSU rRNA
Rfam family: Bacterial small subunit ribosomal RNA
Source: RNAcentral